RNAcentral lists this ribosomal RNA (301 nucleotides) under uncultured bacterium. Its description in RNAcentral is "partial 16S ribosomal RNA". It matches the Rfam family "Bacterial small subunit ribosomal RNA", at positions 509 to 809 of the family's 1533-position model. The record is from RNAcentral.
CAGUAGCCGCGGGAAUACGUAGGUGGCAAGCGUUGUCCGGAAUUAUUGGGCGUAAAGCGCGCGCAGGCGGAUAGGUCAGUCUGUCUUAAAAGUUCGGGGCUUAACCCCGUGAUGGGAUGGAAACUGCCAAUCUAGAGUAUUGGAGAGGAAAGUGGAAUUCCUAGUGUAGCGGUGAAAUGCGUAGAUACUAGGAAGAACACCAGUGGCGAAGGCGACUUUCUGGACGAAAACUGACGCUGAGGCGCGAAAGCCAGGGGAGCGAACGGGAUUAGAUACCCCGGUAGUCCCUGUCUCUUAUACA